GAUGAACGCUGGCGGCGUGCCUAAUACAUGCAAGUCGAGCGAACAGAUGAGGAGCUUGCUCCUCUGACGUUAGCGGCGGACGGGUGAGUAACACGUGGAUAACCUACCUAUAAGACUGGGAUAACUUCGGGAAACCGGAGCUAAUACCGGAUAAUAUAUUGAACCGCAUGGUUCAAUAGUGAAAGACGGUUUUGCUGUCACUUAUAGAUGGAUCCGCGCCGCAUUAGCUAGUUGGUAAGGUAACGGCUUACCAAGGCAACGAUGCGUAGCCGACCUGAGAGGGUGAUCGGCCACACUGGAACUGAGACACAGUCCAGAUUCCUACGGGAGGCAGCAGUAGGGAAUCUUCCGCAAUGGGCGAAAGCCUGACGGAGCAACGCCGCGUGAGUGAUGAAGGUCUUCGGAUCGUAAAACUCUGUUAUUAGGGAAGAACAAAUGUGUAAGUAACUAUGCACGUCUUGACGGUACCUAAUCAGAAAGCCACGGCUAACUACGUG
Molecule: ribosomal RNA, 497 nt
Filed under: uncultured bacterium
Lineage: Bacteria
Description: partial 16S ribosomal RNA
Rfam family: Bacterial small subunit ribosomal RNA
Source: RNAcentral